UGACUUUCUGUGCCCUGACACUCUUCUACUUU
This 32-nucleotide non-coding RNA is filed under the name Mus musculus (house mouse). The record is from RNAcentral. Lineage: Eukaryota; Metazoa; Chordata; Mammalia; Rodentia; Muridae.